Long non-coding RNA from Electrophorus electricus (electric eel), 139 nucleotides. RefSeq lists it as uncharacterized. The record is from RefSeq and is a predicted model, not a curated record. NCBI's taxonomy places the organism in Eukaryota, Metazoa, Chordata, Actinopteri, Gymnotiformes, Gymnotidae.
CGACUGGAUCACAGAAGGAACCCAGUUGACUGUGAUAACAUGUCAGGCUGUGAUAACCUCAAUGUUAUAGCGGGCUUGAAUCACACGAGUGCUUUUAACUACACCAACCAGGCAGGUACCCAGAGAAUUUUUACAGGGC